GAUGAACGCUGGCGGCGUGCCUAAUACAUGCAAGUCGAGCGAACAGACGAGGAGCUUGCUCCUCUGACGUUAGCGGCGGACGGGUGAGUAACACGUGGAUAACCUACCUAUAAGACUGGGAUAACUUCGGGAAACCGGAGCUAAUACCGGAUAAUAUAUUGAACCGCAUGGUUCAAUAGUGAAAGACGGUUUUGCUGUCACUUAUAGAUGGAUCCGCGCCGCAUUGGAUGGUUGGGAAGGUCACGGCCUACCAAGGCAACGAUGCGUAACCGACCGGAGAGGGUGAUCGGCCACCCGGGAACUGGAACACGGUCAAGGCUCCUGCGGGAGGCAGCAGUAGGGAAUCUUCCGCAGUGGGCGAGAGCCUGACGGAGCAACGCCGCGUGAGUGAUGAAGGUGUUCGGAGCGUAAAACUCUGUUAUUAGGGAAGAACAAAUGUGUAAGUAACUAUGCACGUCUUGACGGUACCUAAUCAGAAAGCCACGGCUAACUACGUG
Molecule: ribosomal RNA, 497 nt
Filed under: uncultured bacterium
Lineage: Bacteria
Description: partial 16S ribosomal RNA
Rfam family: Bacterial small subunit ribosomal RNA
Source: RNAcentral